AUCAAUGGGAAGGCAUUCCUUGGUUUCAACCCUUGAUUUCAACUUUAGCAAUAGUAGGGGUUAGGUGGUAACCUGAACUUGGAAACCUCAACAUGACAUUCUGUGACUUCUUUUGAUUUCAACUUCGGAACACCAAUGUUCUAUAUUGAAAUCACUUAUGCGGGUAUGCCAUCAAGUUACUCGGGUGGGCAAUCUGCAAGUAAUAUUGGUUUUAACAUAGGGUUGAUGAGAACGAAUAAUGUAUUCCUUACAACCUGUAUCAGUGAAGAGGCAUGCAAUUGGGGUUGAUAACGAAAAGGAAACUGGGAAUGAAGAGGGAGCUGAAAAUGAAGAGGAACCUGAAACUGAUGAUGGUCAAAUUCAAGAGUCUGGGCCAGAUGAUUUGGAAAUUGCAUUAUUUUCUAAUCCAAUCUAGGCUGCAGAUGGUCGACGUAGAAGCCGAUGGCAUCGUAUGCACCAUAGGUAAGUUAUACGUCAUAUCAGGUCAAAUUACAUGGGCCAAUUUCACAAGGAUGAUAAACGACAAUAUGUUAUUAACAUGGGGUAUGAGCUUGUCCAACAUCGAUUCCGUGAAAUGUUGGAGAAUUUGUGAGCUAUAAAUAAAUACGGUGCUAAAUACCUUAAUGGGAUACCCAAGGGAUAAUGGACUCAAUCAUAUGAUGGAGGUCUACAAUACGGACACAUGACAACGAAGCUAGUGGAAUACAUAAAUUUUGUAUUGAAGGGGACGCGUCAUUUGCCGAUAACGUCAGUGGUCAAAGAAGCAUAUUUACGCAACAAUUUGCAAAUUUCCUUAUUUUUGGCCGAAUUUAAAAGGAAAUGGAAGAGAGAUGAAUGGCUCAAACUCGAGUCUAAAAAAGUAUUAAUGCCUUAACCAUUGGGAUCUUGCCAAUUUCUUAGUAAAUUUUAUCCCCAAUUGUUUGUAUGUUGUGUUAUGCUAAAAUUUCAAAAUUAAAAAAGAAUAAGGGACUUGAACUUUGGUAAGUAAGGGGCAGAGUGACAUGUUAACCAUUGGGCUGCUACCCAUUCUUAUUUAAUUUCUAUUCCAAAUAAUUAUUUAUUUUGGUUAGUUUUUAUCUUAGGUUGCUAAAAAUUAAAAGGAAAAAAAUAGGCAAAGUGAUGUUUAAACCUAAACUCUUUAAAGAUGAAAUCUAACACUUAACCAUUAUGUCUUAGGCCUAUUUCUUGUUUAUUUUAGUCACUUAAUUGUAUAUAUUUAUUUCAAGCUCAACUUAUAUAUUCUUUUUAGCUUACACAUUUAUUUAAUUUUUAUUAACUUGUUUAACUUGAGUUUUUAACACAUUCCUAAUUUAAUUUAUAUACAAUAA
Long non-coding RNA from Gossypium arboreum, 1328 nucleotides. RefSeq lists it as uncharacterized. Lineage: Eukaryota; Viridiplantae; Streptophyta; Magnoliopsida; Malvales; Malvaceae. The transcript is spliced from 3 exons. The record is from RefSeq and is a predicted model, not a curated record.